This is a long non-coding RNA of Gallus gallus (chicken), 2782 nucleotides long. Lineage: Eukaryota; Metazoa; Chordata; Aves; Galliformes; Phasianidae. The record is from Ensembl.
CUACAUUUCGUGGGGGGGGGCGUGGGGUGGUGGUGGUGGUGAUGGUGGUCGUGGGCAGCACGGUGGUGGGGGGAAGAUCACCUGUGGGCACAGAGGAGCCCUGAGGACACAGCCCAUGUGCAGCCUUCAUGUCCACACGCUGGGGCAGAGGAACCACAGCGAUGCAGCCCAGCAUGAUGGAUCCGCACACCCACUUCUGUUGCAUGCAGCGGGAUAAACCAUGGAGCAGUUACCAUAGGAGCUUGCAUUGAGCUGCAGGCAGAGGGAGGUGUUGCAGCACUCCAUGGUGCACUGCUGUAGGGUCACGCUGCCAUUGGUCCUGCACAGCUCUGCACUGCACACACUGCUGCAUCUGGCGGUGUAGUUCAUGCUGGAGAAACGAUAAAGCUGCAACAGCAGAGCCAAAGGAAAAAAAAAAAACCCACUAGAAGUGCGAAGAGAGGCCAUUACAGAGGAGCAAAAAUAAUGGACAGAGUGGGACAGUGGCAAAGGAAAAUCAGGUGUUGUGCUCACAGCCUCCAGCAGCCGCUCUAAGCUCCAUACCUCGCAGAAGGUCUCAUUGUAGCAGGUGGUCGUCAUGUUGCUGUGGGCCUCAUCCUGGUAACACCUCUCCCCGGAGCACUGGAAGCUCUGACAGCUGAGCUGGGGGGAGGACACGCCAGGGGGUCACAGCGCAGCAGAGCUUCUGCAUGGCCAGCAUCCCCCUUCCCUCUCCUUACCGGGGUUUGUUCUGUAUGGUUCAUGGAGGCGUUGGCAGCCACUGAAGCCUGGCUGAUGGACACCCAAGUGGUGGUGGUGGUCACUGAGGUGUGGUUGGAGGCAGCCAUUGAGGCACUGGCGGUAGCCACUGAGGCAUGGGUGGUGACUAUGGACAUGUUGACCACUUUGCGCCCUAAAAAAAACACAAAGUUCCCCCUUGGUGAAGGAAAUAGCAUCCAUGUGGUCCCCCAUCCCAAACAAGAACAAAGAUCUGCUUGCAGCCAGCAGGGAGGAGCCUGCCCAGCGGGUCAGAGAUAAUCGCUGACUAUGGAAACGUUACAGCAGCUUCUCCCUUCCCCUUCGAGGCACAUUGCAUAGGAGAUACAGCCAUUUCUGGGGUCAAAACCUCAAGAAAAUUUCCUGAGCACAGCUCUGUCCAAUAGCUUACAGCCAAGAGGGGACAGGGAUGUUGUCCCAUCACACCAAGUUGCCUUUGCCCCAUUCCCAAGAGGAUCCUCUGCUGUGCACUCACCUGCUAUGGCAAGAGGGCCCUGGGUGCAGAAGUGCAGAGCCAAGACACAGAGCAGCAGGCCUGAAACAGAGCAGAGACAACUGGGACCAUCAGAGGCCAAGUUCAGCCCUGGCAGUCUCCCUGGGAGAGCAGGGAUCCGUGCAGGCUGUGGGGUAGCAGCUCUGGGAUGGACACUGCUCAGAGCCCCCAUUACCUGGAGUAGGGAAGAGCUGCCGGUGAGCUGCCAUCACCCCCACCAGCAACCUCAGCUGGGACCUGGCAGAGAGAUGCAAUCAGAACUGGGCAAUCAGAACCAGCUCAUCACCCAGAAGUUAUCCUUGUCUGGCAUCAGAGACCAAGAGCCAGGCUCUUCCAGUCUCGGUUGCAGCACGAGAAGGCUGAACAAGCACUGAGGGAUCCAGGGAGCACUUCUCCCUGUGGGCUCAGACCCAGGGCUCAGCCCAGCCCUGCCAAACAGGAGCCCCCUGGGAGGCCAUGUGCUGCUGUUGGUGUGGUAACUCUCCACCUCUGUGUAACACAGAGCCGUGAACAGCACCAGCUUGGCACCACACACAGCAAACUGCUGAUGCUGUUGUAAAUGAAGAAGCUGCCCCAGCUCAGGAUGGUGCCACACACAUACCUGUUGCAUGGAAUUCUGAAUCCAGUUGUCUGCAUUGCCUCCCAACACCGACCCCUUGCACUGCUCACACCACACGUGGGGAAGUUCCACCUCCUUUGGUGUUUCCUGAGAUACACUGCUCUCCAUUGAAUGAAAGCAGACAUCUUCCUUGCAAAAUCUUUGCCAGUUUAAAUAAGGAAGCAGCAGAGAUGACUCCAAACAUGCUCCAAGGCUGCUUUCCAAAUACCCCCCCUUCUGCCUUAGGAUUUAAGCUCAGAUAGCAUUCCCAGGGCACUCUUUCAGAAUGACAGAAAACAAUACAGGCUGGAGUUUCUCACCUCCCAGAGCAGGGCAGCCCCCCAACCCAGGCCAGGUUAGGACAGCCCUUACUGAGGCUGGUACAGCUCCAGCACAGCCAGACCCACCUCCAGGACAGGCUAAGAACAAACCAGAAAAGGCUCACCCUGAAACAAGCUUCUCAACCCCAAGCAGGGAAAGGAAUCUGCUCAUAGACUCACCCUCUGUGUCCGUGCCCUGAAAGCCCCUGCACACCAGAGGAAGCCUGCAGCUGCUGCAAGAGAUGGAGAGCCUCUGAGCACCGAGCAGCUACAGCACCUGCAGUACCUGCAGCACAGCACAUGCCCUGGUGGCAGUGAGCAGCCCCACCCUGCCAACCACCAGCUGCGCAAACCGUCACCCAGGGAGAAGGGUUUGUUACCUGCAGCCCUGCUGGAUUUGGAGAUGCAAAUGUCCAUGCGCAGUGACAACUGAGAAAAGGAUUUUCAAGGCAAGAGAUGUCGCGCCAGCACGUCUAUGCCAAAAUGAAAGCCCACUGUAGGCAGUGUGAGGGCUGCCAUAAACCCCAAUGCCUCUGCCCAGUGCCUCUUUUCUCCUCACAGGACUUUAAUUCGUGUGGUAGUAUCACAGUUCAAGAGAACCAAAGGAAGGAUCUG